Molecule: ribosomal RNA, 441 nt
Filed under: Triticum aestivum (bread wheat)
Lineage: Eukaryota; Viridiplantae; Streptophyta; Magnoliopsida; Poales; Poaceae
Description: partial small subunit ribosomal RNA
Source: RNAcentral
AUGGCAGUGAGAGGGGAGAAGACAAAGGUGCAGCAGUUGAUGGCAGUGAGAGGGAAGAAGACGAUGAUGAAGAAGACGAGGAUGGUUAUGGUGAUGAUAAAAGGGGAUCCAAUGGAGGCAACGACAGCAGCGAUGAUGAUGAUGACAACACCCCUGGUUUUGGUGGAUUUGCCGAAGUCAAAGAAAAAUGACGAAGCAGAGUGCCAGGGCAACAUUGAUAUGUUCAAGCUCUACAAUUUGAAGCCAGCUUUGCCAACCACCUUUCCCGUGCCAGAUUUUAGCGACAAAGAUAUGUGUGAGAAGAUCAACUUUGCCAUUGACAAGAGCCUAUUCUUAUCAAGUGAUGCUGAAAAGAAUCAAAUUGACAUGGAGGAAGCAGGAAAGGACCUAAGCUCCAGCAAGAGCAAGGCAGCAUCCAUGGCAAAACCUCACGUGGUUUAG